UACGUAGGGUCCGAGCGUUGUCCGGAAUUAUUGGGCGUAAAGAGCUCGUAGGCGGUCUGUUGCGUCGGUUGUGAAAACCUGGGGCUCAACUCCAGGCCUGCAAUCGAUACGGGCAGACUAGAGUUCGGUAGGGGAGACUGGAAUUCCUGGUGUAGCGGUGAAAUGCGCAGAUAUCAGGAAGAACACCCGUGGCGAAAGCGGCUCUCUGGAACGGUACUGACGCUGAGACGCGAAAGCGUGGGGAGCGAACAGG
RNAcentral lists this ribosomal RNA (253 nucleotides) under uncultured bacterium. RNAcentral describes it as "partial 16S ribosomal RNA". It matches the Rfam family "Bacterial small subunit ribosomal RNA", at positions 524 to 776 of the family's 1533-position model. The record is from RNAcentral.